CAGACGACUCUCGGCAAUGGAUAUCUCGGCUCUUGCAUCGAUGAAGAACGUAGUGAAAUGCGAUACUUGGUGUGAAUUGCAGAAUCUCGUGAACCAUUGAGUCUUUGAACGCAAGUUGUGCCCGAGGCCUUGUGGCCGAGGGCACGCCUGCUUGGGCGUCAUGG
This 164-nucleotide ribosomal RNA is filed under the name Zingiber corallinum. Its description in RNAcentral is "5.8S ribosomal RNA". It matches the Rfam family "5.8S ribosomal RNA". Rfam says of the family: 5.8S ribosomal RNA (5.8S rRNA) is a component of the large subunit of the eukaryotic ribosome. Lineage: Eukaryota; Viridiplantae; Streptophyta; Magnoliopsida; Zingiberales; Zingiberaceae. The record is from RNAcentral.